CUAGCGCGACACAAAUGUACCAAACGUGCAGACGUUUUUCGCAAUCGGGUCUCAUCUCUUCAUAAUUUCGUUAAAAUUAAACAAUAGCACGUUUUUUGUUUUGUUUUUCUCACUAGCAACAAAUACAAUUUGAGAAGUUUUAAGGUGAUUCAUCAUUUCUAAAAGGUGUCUGUGGAGCUAUGAAUUUUUCUGACGGAAUUCUGUUCCAUAGAGACAAUCAAUGAAGUAUGGAACUCCGGGAGGAAAAAAAAGAACAGUUAUAAAAUUAACGAUCAAUACAGAGAAAAAGGAAAAGUCUAGAAAAUUCAUCUCACCAGCAUUUUUUUAAUGAAAGUCCGCAUAAAGGAACUGGAGGGCGAGCAGAGUACUGAGCUCCCUCUUUCUUCGGGCAGGAGAAAUAACGAAAUUGCGGAAAACUGCACUGCAUACUUAAAUAAAUGGCCGAAUAGUCAACUUUUGGUACAUCUGCAACAUAGAGCACCUAGU
Long non-coding RNA from Limulus polyphemus (Atlantic horseshoe crab), 486 nucleotides. RefSeq lists it as uncharacterized. Lineage: Eukaryota; Metazoa; Arthropoda; Merostomata; Xiphosura; Limulidae. The record is from RefSeq and is a predicted model, not a curated record. The transcript is spliced from 3 exons.